AGACUUUGAUCCUGGCUCAGAUUGAACGCUGGCGGCAUGCCUUACACAUGCAAGUCGAACGGCAGCGCGGGGGCAACCCUGGCGGCGAGUGGCGAACGGGUGAGUAAUGUAUCGGAACGUGCCCUGGAGUGGGGGAUAACUAGUCGAAAGACUAGCUAAUACCGCAUACGAUCUACGGAUGAAAGUGGGGGACCGCAAGGCCUCACGCUCCAGGAGCGGCCGAUAUCUGAUUAGCUAGUUGGUGGGGUAAAAGCUCACCAAGGCGACGAUCAGUAGCUGGUCUGAGAGGACGACCAGCCACACUGGGACUGAGACACGGCCCAGACUCCUACGGGAGGCAGCAGUGGGGAAUUUUGGACAAUGGGGGAAACCCUGAUCCAGCAAUGCCGCGUGUGUGAAGAAGGCCUUCGGGUUGUAAAGCACUUUUGUCAGGAACGAAACGGUGAGGGCUAAUAUCCUUUGCUAAUGACGGUACCUGAAGAAUAAGCACCGGCUAACUACGUGCCAGCAGCCGCGGUAAUACGUAGGGUGCAAGCGUUAAUCGGAAUUACUGGGCGUAAAGCGUGCGCAGGCGGUUGUGCAAGACAGAUGUGAAAUCCCCGGGCUCAACCUGGGAAUUGC
This 621-nucleotide ribosomal RNA is filed under the name uncultured Gammaproteobacteria bacterium. RNAcentral describes it as "bacterial SSU rRNA". It matches the Rfam family "Bacterial small subunit ribosomal RNA", at positions 8 to 624 of the family's 1533-position model. The record is from RNAcentral. Lineage: Bacteria; Pseudomonadati; Pseudomonadota; Gammaproteobacteria.